AUUGAACGCUGGCGGCAGGCCUAACACAUGCAAGUCGAGCGGAUGAGUGGAGCUUGCUCCAUGAUUCAGCGGCGGACGGGUGAGUAAUGCCUAGGAAUCUGCCUGGUAGUGGGGGACAACGUUUCGAAAGGAACGCUAAUACCGCAUACGUCCUACGGGAGAAAGCAGGGGACCUUCGGGCCUUGCGCUAUCAGAUGAGCCUAGGUCGGAUUAGCUAGUUGGUGAGGUAACGGCUCACCAAGGCGACGAUCCGUAACUGGUCUGAGAGGAUGAUCAGUCACACUGGAACCGAGACACGGUCCAGACUCCUACGGGAGGCAGCAGUGGGGAAUAUUGGACAAUGAGCGAAAGCCUGAUCCAGCCAUGCCGCGUGUGUGAAGAAGGUCUUCGGAUUGUAAAGCACUUUAAGUUGGGAGGAAGGGCAGUAAGUUAAUACCUUGCUGUUUUGACGUUACCGACAGAAUAAGCACCGGCUAACUUCGUGCCAGCCGCCGCUGUAA
Molecule: ribosomal RNA, 500 nt
Filed under: uncultured bacterium
Lineage: Bacteria
Description: partial 16S ribosomal RNA
Rfam family: Bacterial small subunit ribosomal RNA
Source: RNAcentral